Long non-coding RNA from Oncorhynchus tshawytscha (Chinook salmon), 723 nucleotides. RefSeq lists it as uncharacterized. The record is from RefSeq and is a predicted model, not a curated record. Lineage: Eukaryota; Metazoa; Chordata; Actinopteri; Salmoniformes; Salmonidae. The transcript has 2 exons.
CUUUGGUUACACCACUGAAAUGAGUUUGCACUAAUGAAUAUACCCCAUGCCACAUGAUUCAGGUUGUAUCUGUAACACUGGUUACACCACUGAAAUGAGUUUGCACUAAUGAAUAUACCCCAUGCCACAUGAUUCAGGUUGUAUCUGUAACACUGGUUACACCACUGAAAUGAGUUUGCACUAAUGAAUAUACCCCAUGCCACAUGAUUCAGGUAACACUGGUUACACCACUGAAAUGAGUUUGCACUAAUGAAUAUACCCCAUGCCACAUGAUUCAGGUUGUAUCUGUAACACUGGUUACACCACUGAAAUGAGUUUGCACUAAUGAAUAUACCCCAUGCCACAUGAUUCAGGUUGUAUCUGUAACACUGGUUACACCACUGAAAUGAGUUUGCACUAAUGAAUAUACCCCAUGCCACAUGAUUCAGGUUGUAUCUGUAACACUGGUUACACCACUGAAAUGAGUUUGCACUAAUGAAUAUACCCCAUGCCACAUGAUUCAGGUUGUAUCUGUAACACUGGUUACACCACUGAAAUGAGUUUGCACAAAUGAAUAUACCCCAUGCCACAUGAUUCAGGUUGUAUCUGUAACACUGGUUACACCACUGAAAUGAGUUUGCACUAAUGAAUAUACCCCAUGCCACAUGAUUCAGGUUGUAUCUGUAACACUGGUUACACCACUGAAAUGAGUUUGCACUAAUGAAUAUACCCCAUGCCACAUGA